AGAGCGAACGCUGGCGGCAGGCUUAACACAUGCAAGUCGAGCGCCCCGCAAGGGGAGCGGCAGACGGGAGAGUAACACGCGGGAACGUACCUUUCGGUUCGGAACAACCCAGGGAAACUUGGGCUAAUACCGGAUACGUCCGUAAGGAGAAAGAUUUAUCGCCGAAAGAUCGGCCCGCGUCUGAUUAGCUAGUUGGUGAGGUAACGGCUCACCAAGGCGACGAUUAGUAGCUGGUCUGAGAGGAUGAUCAGCCUCACUGGGACUGAGACACGGCCCAGACUCCUACGGGAGGCAGCAGUGGGGAAUAUUGGACAAUGGGCGCAAGCCUGAUCCAGCCAUGCCGCGUGGGUGAUGAAGGCCCUAGGGUUGUAAAGCCCUUUCGGCGGGGAAGAUAAUGACGGUACCCGCAGAAGAAGCCCCGGCUAACUUCGUGCCAGCAGCC
This 442-nucleotide ribosomal RNA is filed under the name uncultured bacterium. RNAcentral describes it as "SSU rRNA". It matches the Rfam family "Bacterial small subunit ribosomal RNA", at positions 26 to 516 of the family's 1533-position model. The record is from RNAcentral.